UACGUAGGGUGCGAGCGUUAAUCGGAAUUACUGGGCGUAAGGAGUGCGUAGGCGGUUCUGAAGUCCGCUGUGAAAGCCCCGGGCUUAACUUGGGAAUUGCGCUCGAAACUACGUGGCUGGAGUGUGGCAGAGGAAGGUGGAAUUCCAGGUGUAGCGGUGAAAUGCGUAGAGAUCUGGAGGAACACCGAUGGCGAAGGCAGCCUUCUGGGCCAACACUGACGCUCAUGCACGAAAGCGUGGGGAGCAAACAGG
This 252-nucleotide ribosomal RNA is filed under the name uncultured bacterium. Its description in RNAcentral is "partial 16S ribosomal RNA". It matches the Rfam family "Bacterial small subunit ribosomal RNA", at positions 524 to 776 of the family's 1533-position model. The record is from RNAcentral.